UACAGAGGGUGCAAGCGUUAAUCGGAAUUAUUGGGCGUAAAGGGCUUGUAGGCGGUUUAUUAAGUUAGGUGUGAAAACCCUGGGCUCAACCUGGGGCUGGCAUCUAAUACUGGUAAGCUAGAGUAUAGGAGAGGAGAAGGGAAUUUCUGGUGUAGCGGUGAAAUGCGUAGAGAUCAGAAGGAACAUCAGUGGCGAAGGCGCUUCUCUGGCCUAAUACUGACGCUGAGGAGCGAAGGCGUGGGGAUCAAACAGG
RNAcentral lists this ribosomal RNA (253 nucleotides) under uncultured bacterium. Its description in RNAcentral is "partial 16S ribosomal RNA". It matches the Rfam family "Bacterial small subunit ribosomal RNA", at positions 524 to 776 of the family's 1533-position model. The record is from RNAcentral.